UUCAGUUUAUAGUAAGGCAGUUUAUUAUGAGACAAAGAUAUUUGGCAAAGCGUGCACGGACUCCUUCGUUUAGCUCAUAGGGAACUAGCAGAAGAGAGCCCCGAAACAUAGUAUACAUCCAAUUUAUACAAUGAAAUAACAGUGUGUUGACGUUGAGUCUAGUAGGUCCGCUCUCCUGACUGGUCGAUGAGUGGAGGGACGGUCCACUCUCCAGGUGGUGUCGACUUCCCAUUGGCCCUUGGCAGUGUCCUUUGUCCUCGGAGUCCAACACACCUAAGUGUGUGUGUGGGUGUGUGUGUAUUUCUGGUAAUUCGUGUCUGGGUGCUUGCGAUAUUCAUGGAAUGUUGUGCAAAUGCCCUCCUUAUGUAUCAUUAGGUAAAACGUUAGAUUAUCUUUAUUACAAAUCCCCCUCUUCACGUCUGCAAGACGUGACAAAAAAGAACAAUCUGCGGCACAGCGGGAGUGAAAACAAAUUUUGAGACAAAUUUUGUGAGUCCCCCUCUUCACGUCUCACCUCAGCAGAUAGCUUGUCAAGUCUCAAUAGGGAUUAAAAUCAUAUCAUUUCCAUUACAAUCCACCCGUUUUGCUAGAUAUUUCACAUACAUUAUAACACAUCUAUUUUGAUUGGAUUCAGAAAUUUCACACAAAUUCAAACUAAUUCAUGCAUCCCAAUAGAUGGUCUCAUCUAACAUGUGCUCCUCAUAUUUGAAUGAAUCCUCCACCUUGCUCGGCGGUAGGUACUUGUCAUCUCAUUGAUCUGAACUUUGACUCGGUCCGUAGCUCACCAUCUGCUCCGUUAUCAUCUCUCUAGAGUUCUGGUGAUUAAACCUCUUGCACACGGGACCAAACAACAACCACACAACCCAAACACACUCAUACAGGUGAAAGCAGCCCAUAAUACAGUUCUUGCAACACUUUUCCAUUUCCCAAACAUGAGCUGUGUUAUCUAAAAUUUACGUACAGCAAUGAACCUAAUCAUUCUACCUACACCAUCCUCUUUGCCCGUAACCUAUUGAGAGUCAGUCUAUUUUACCAGGUCAUGAGGGAGGUGGCGGAUAAUUGGUCAGAGAACCUCUUUACUGCAUCCCCUGUUUCAUUCAUGAAUCUCUGUUGAUUAAAAUAUGUCAUUAAUUCAAUCCACAUUAUUAUUUAUUGUCAACUACCAAAAUAAUGUAGUGUUAAAGCCUUCACAUAUUUGAUUCAUAGCUUUGUAUUCAUCUGGAACUUCCCUGAGGAUGCCAAUAGCAUCCAUCUUGUAAAGCUACUCCCAUCCUGGUCAAAACUCCUCCUGUGCCUACUUUAGCCUCCUAUAACUGGCCUCUGAUGACUAACUCGAACUGGUUAGACCAAUAACCCCAGGGUGCAAUUCCUAACAACCCUUUGUGGUAAUUUCUGUCGUAUGCGUCCUUUGCUGGUACUAGCCCACCCUUCAUCAGUUAUAGGUGCUAUGAGGUUACACAUUUUCUCCUGUGCUUUCAAACCUAAGUCAGUCAUAUUAACAAUUACCUUUCCAGCCAUUAAAAUCAUCUUAAUUCUCGGUGCCAUUUUUGUAUCUAUAACACUGGUAUUCAUCCGGAAUUUAGGUGAACCGAGGUGGGUUGGCUGAGUACUUCAAUCUGGCCAACCCAUAUUCCUGUACAGUUGUCUGCUUCCCCAGGAAAUUGUUUAAUGUUUACCUUAAAUUCUACAUCUUGAUCUUCUUUGAUUCCUUAUUCUGUACGUCACUCAUCAGUGUAUUAUAUAGUUUAUCUUUUACUUCUUCUCCAUGACAACGGUAACCUAUGUUUAGUACCAGUAGGUGGUGGAUCUGAAUAUAUCAGAAAGAUUAGACUAUGAUGCAGCUCAGAGUCUCUACUCUUCCCAAAAACCGUCAACCCUCUCCUGCCCUUAGUCUCUCUGCUUGGUACCACCCCAUACUCACACCUCUAGGAGCACACACAGUGAUGAACGGUCGGGAUAGGGAAUCUUCGUUAAGGAGGUAACCCCCGGACCCUGUUGGUAUCGGUUCUUCUCCUAACUCUGUGUGUGAUCAGCAGUGGUCAUAUGUGUACAUACCUCCUUGCAGUGGGUAACGUGGACCCAAGUGACUCUCUCAGCUUUUCUAAUGGCAAAGGCAAUGGUUUAACAGAACCUGGUAUGGGCCUUCCCCACGGGGCUGCUUCCCGUCUUUUCUCCUCAGGGACUGGAUCCACACCCAGUCUCCUGGUUGGAUUGAGUGAAUCACCUUCUCCUGUAAUUCACCUGUUGAACACAAAAUCUUGGACAUACGGGUUUGGUUAACAAACAGUCUUCUCAUGUGCUCUGCUAGUAUAUCUUUAACUUCUA
RNAcentral lists this long non-coding RNA (2325 nucleotides) under Salmo salar (Atlantic salmon). RNAcentral's name for it is "lncRNA (ENSSSAG00000113878.1)". The record is from RNAcentral. Lineage: Eukaryota; Metazoa; Chordata; Actinopteri; Salmoniformes; Salmonidae.